AAAAGAUAUCAAGAAUUCUGAAAUGCCUCUACCAGCUUCUUCUUUCAGCAAAUGAAAAACUCUCUCUAGACAUAAAUGUCAGAGCAACAAGGAAAUGGAAAUGAAUCCUUGCUCCAGCAUCCAGAGGAAGAAAAAGCAAUAACCAACUGUAAUGGAGACAUUACACCAUUCAACACUAUGUAUCUGCAUCAAUCUGAUUUUAAUUUGCUUAUUGUUCAUUCUGUGAUUUAGGAAAAAGGAGUUUUAUAUUUUCUUUUAAGGAAUUCCAAAUAUGGCCAAAGGUCUAAUGAAAAAAAGUAGCAAGGAAUGUAGGCCAUGGGAAUUUUUAACUGGAAAAUUCAUGUUGUGUGAAAGCAAAAUAUGUCAUAGAACCACUCUAUAUAUGCAGUGAUUAUUUAUCAUCUUUGUACAUUGAUUAUUUUAUUCUUCAUUUGCUUCCACAGUCUUCCUUUAUCUUAAAU
RNAcentral lists this long non-coding RNA (461 nucleotides) under Coturnix japonica (Japanese quail). RNAcentral describes it as "lncRNA (ENSCJPG00005002260.1)". Lineage: Eukaryota; Metazoa; Chordata; Aves; Galliformes; Phasianidae. The record is from RNAcentral.